RNAcentral lists this unclassified non-coding RNA (1574 nucleotides) under Hevea brasiliensis (rubber tree). The record is from RNAcentral. Lineage: Eukaryota; Viridiplantae; Streptophyta; Magnoliopsida; Malpighiales; Euphorbiaceae.
UUUUUAUCACCCACCGAAACAUGCAUAAGAGAGUGCAUAAGUUAUGCACACCCAUUUUUCCCUUAUGUAGCCUUAACACAUGUCCUGUUCAAAUCAAAAUUUGUUUUCGGCACCCAUUUUCCCACCUCCACCUCCCAAUAUUCCUGUUCACUCCUUUUUCCCCCCACGUCCAUUUAUUCCGGCAUUACCUCUCCUCUUCUUCUCCACUCCUAUUUUGGCUGCAUUUGCCCUAACUUUUCUCUGCAUCUUUCACUUUGUGCAUAUUUGUCCAUACUCUGUAUAUUUGCAUGCUUCUACUGGUGGUUGCACAUUUUCCCUUGCUCAUCAUCAUGCAGCAGCUUUUGAAUAUACUGCAUAGGCUAUGAAUACCCUUAUGCAAAUAUUUUGCAUAGCCUGUGUAGUCCUCUAUGCCACUCAUGCAGAACUGCAUAGGCUAUGAAUACCCUUAUGCAAAUAUUUUGCAUAGCCUGUGUAGUCCUCUAUGCCACUCAUGCAGAACUGCAUAGGCUAUGAAUACCCUUAUGCAAAUGUUCUGCAUAGCCUGUGCAGUCCUUAUUGCCACUCAUGCAGAACCGCACAGCUUAUGCACCUUCCUUAUGCACCUGUUCUGGACAGCACUUUACUCUGCAUAACCUGUGCAGCUUCUUAUGCAUCCCCAUUAUAUCUUGAAUUCUCAUCUGCUCUAUACCAGGUAACUCUUUCCUUUUGCUCUUAAAUUUCACAAUUCCUGGUAAUUUCUCUUUGCUUUAAGUUUUGAUAAUGCAUUGCUUGAGACAUUGAGGACAAUGUCUAAUUUUGAGUUUGGGGGUGCACAUUUUGAUUUUUGCUUCAUUUUUCACAUUUUGAGUAUAGGAACAUCUCAUCCCAUUUCAUUUACAUAUAUUGUAAAUAUUUUACAUAUACAUCCACACAUACAUAUACAUAACACAUUUACACACACAUUAUACAUCACUUAGAAAUUGUACACAUUGCACACAAAUAGACAAAUAGAUUCACAUUCACUCCAUUUAGUUAAUGCAUUGCUCAUUUUUAGGAAUCAUGCAUCAUGCAUUAAAAUCUUUUGCCAAAUCCCUUGAGUAUUGAAAAGUUGCCUAUGAGAGUGAUUUGACUCACCCUUUAGUUGGGUUUGUGGAUUGAAAGUUUCCUAAGAGGUGCAAGGUUUUGAAGUGUCUAUCCCUUGCCUAUAUCUUCUUAGCCAAAAAGCCACCCAACUAGUCAUUUGGAGAUGGAAGUGUUUAGAGGGAGUUAUUGGAUAUAAGGUAGUCAAAUGAUGUCUCACCAAUCCUAGAACAAAUUUUCUAAACCUUUCAAGGCGAAAUACCAGCUUGUACUUGAAAAGAGAGAUGAUUAGGCAUUCUUUGAUUUAAACCUUCUCAUUUUAAACCUUUGGCCCUUUUCCUAAUUAAAAUUGACCCUUGCAAACCCCUUUGAGCCUUUUUGUCCCUAAUUUUUCUUGAAACCCUUAUUGCUACCUAGCCAAUGAACCAAACACUCCAACCCUUUUCAUGAGAAUAAUUAUUUAUAACAUUAGGUACAUAAAAAAAAAAAUUUACAAUAAAAGGGAGAAGAAAUGC